RNAcentral lists this transfer RNA (72 nucleotides) under Camelus ferus (Wild Bactrian camel). It matches the Rfam family "tRNA". From Rfam's summary of the family: Transfer RNA (tRNA) molecules are approximately 80 nucleotides in length. Lineage: Eukaryota; Metazoa; Chordata; Mammalia; Artiodactyla; Camelidae. The record is from Rfam by way of RNAcentral.
GUGGAUAUAGCUCAGUGGUAGAGUGCAUGCUUAGCAUGCACCAGGUCCUAGGUUCAAUCCCCAGUACCUCCA